RNAcentral lists this ribosomal RNA (492 nucleotides) under uncultured bacterium. Its description in RNAcentral is "partial 16S ribosomal RNA". It matches the Rfam family "Bacterial small subunit ribosomal RNA", at positions 29 to 507 of the family's 1533-position model. The record is from RNAcentral.
AGUGAACGCUGGCGGUAGGCCUAACACAUGCAAGUCGAACGGCAGCACAGUAAGAGCUUGCUCUUACGGGUGGCGAGUGGCGGACGGGUGAGGAAUACAUCGGAAUCUACUUUUUCGUGGGGGAUAACGUAGGGAAACUUACGCUAAUACCGCAUACGACCUACGUGUGAAAGCAGGGGAUCUUCGGACCUUGCUCGAUUUAAUGAGCCGAUGUCGGAUUAGCUAGUUGGCGGGGUAAAGGCCCACCAAGGCGACGAUCCGUAGCUGGUCUGAGAGGAUGAUCAGACACACUGGAACUGAGACACGGUCCAGACUCCUACGGGAGGCAGCAGUGGGGAAUAUUGGACAAUGGGCGCAAGCCUGAUCCAGCCAUACCGCGUGGGUGAAGAAGGCCUUCGGGUUGUAAAGCCCUUUUGUUGGGAAAGAAAAGCAGCAGGUUAAUACCCCGCUGUUCUGACGGUACCCAAAGAAUAAGCACCGGCUAACUUCGUG